AGCGAACGCUGGCGGCAGGCCUAACACAUGCAAGUCGAACGAACCUUUCGGGGUUAGUGGCGGACGGGUGAGUAACACGUGGGAACGUGCCUUUAGGUUCGGAAUAACUCAGGGAAACUUGUGCUAAUACCGAAUGUGCCCUUCGGGGGAAAGAUUAAUCGCCUUUAGAGCGGCCCGCGUCUGAUUAGCUAGUUGGUUGAGGUAAUGGCUCACCAAGGCGACGAUCAGUAGCUGGUCUGAGAGGAUGAUCAGCCACAUUGGGACUGAGACACGGACCAAACUCCUACGGGAGGGAGCAGUGGGGAAUCUUGCGCAAUGGGCGAAAGCCUGACGCAGCCAUGCCGCGUGAAUGAUGCAGGUGUUAGGAUUGUAAAAUUCUUUCACCGGGGACGAUAAUGACGGUACCCGGAGAAGAAGCCCCGGCUAACUUCGUG
Molecule: ribosomal RNA, 434 nt
Filed under: uncultured bacterium
Lineage: Bacteria
Description: partial 16S ribosomal RNA
Rfam family: Bacterial small subunit ribosomal RNA
Source: RNAcentral